RNAcentral lists this long non-coding RNA (1973 nucleotides) under Salmo salar (Atlantic salmon). Its description in RNAcentral is "lncRNA (ENSSSAG00000087522.1)". Lineage: Eukaryota; Metazoa; Chordata; Actinopteri; Salmoniformes; Salmonidae. The record is from RNAcentral.
CUCAACAGCACUUCCUGGCGUAGCAGCUAGUUAAUUCCGCCUUCUCAAACAGAGAGGAAUACUAUUUAUGUUAGCUAGCUGGCUAAGGCUAUCCAACACUGGACAUUUUUCAAGUCAAGAGACGUGGAUGUUGAACGGGAUGCAAGGACGUCUCCAUCAAGGAGAGCCACUGCUCAACUGGAUGCAGAAGUGUAACCAGCUGGACGGAUUCCAUAGUACUGGAUGGAUGCCACACGCCACUAACUCAAGCUGAACUGGAAGAGGUGGCUGCAGCUAUGGUCCAUGUUUUGUCUAUGUAACAGAUGUCCCACGAAGCCAAGAAGACGGGUGUUGGCACCGGUGUAACAUAUCUGAUCUUUACUCUCUCUUGCGUUGUGUUUUUAAAGAAAGGAAUGCCCAGCCAGCGGUCCCAGUUGAUUGGUAUUUCUGAUGAUAAAAACAAAGAUGCACAUUAGAUGUGCAGGACAACACCAUGUUGAUGGCUGUAGAUUUGUGAUUUGUCUGUUACCAUGGAAAUAACGGUGAAGAUUGCCUAGCUGUUAAGAGUGUUGGGCCAGUAAUCGAAAGGUCGCUUGUUCGAAUCCCCAAACCAGAGAGGUGCAAAACUCUGCUGUUCUGCCCUUGAGCAAGGCAGUUAACAACUGCUCCCCGGGCGCCGAUGAUGCCGAUUAAGGCAACCCCCAAAAUGUUUCUGAUUCAGAAGGGUUGGCUUAAAAGCCACAUUUUGCUUAAAUGCAUUCAUUUCUGCAACUGACUAGGUACCCCCUUUCCCUGAGUUAGCAGGGAGCUAAUGUAACCAUUACAAUUGUAACCAUUACAUGCUAGCUAACUUGCUCUUACAGCAAUAACAUGCAAAAGCACAUCGCAGGAAGCCCCCAAUAUCUAACAUAAUGAACUCGUACACAUUGUAAAUACGUAAAUAAAAUGCACUAUUUCAGAACGUCAAUAACAGCCUGGGAAGAAUUGACGUUCGCAAGCGCAGCCAAUAUCAUAACACCUUGUUGACAUCUGACUUGAACUAACCAAUAGAAAUACAUAAACAUUGAAUUCAUAUUUAUGCAGUGGCAAGUGGAAACAUAAUCAACCCUGUUACAUCUACAACCAUUUUCACACUGGCAGGAAAAGACACACACUGCUCUGAAUAAUCCUGCCCGACCCAAAUGCUUUAAAUGGAACAAAUCCAUAAUAAGCUGUGUGUUUGACAGGUGUUUAUGAAACAGAAAUCAUUAGAACACUAUCCCUCACAACAUAUACUAAAACAGUGAAUAAAGUGAUUGUUUGAUUGAACCUGUUGUAUUGUAAACUAAUGAUUAGUUACAUGUUGACUACAUAUGUUAUGUUACCCUUUCCUGAUAUGAUUGAAUAAAUCCUGACUGCUGUGUCUCGUCCUGACCAUAGUAAGAUGUUAUUUUCUAUGGUAGAGUACGUCAGGGCGUGACAGGGGGUGUUUUGUGUUUUUCUAUGUUUUCUAUUUCUAUGUUCUUAGGUUCUAGUUUUUGUAUUUCUUUGUUGGUUUGUUUGGGGUGAUUAUUUUUUAGUAGUGUUUGUUUCUCCUCUGCGUCACGGUUUGUUGUUUUGUAUAUUCAGUUAUUUGAUGUAUUGCAUAGUUUCACCGAGUAAAUAAAAAUGUGGAACUACGCACACGCUGCACCUUGGUCCUCUCCUUUUGACAGCCGUGACAUGCUGUCAUAGGUUAGUCUUGUCUGGCACAAACACUUGCUGAAUGCUGAAUGCAUUGCUAACACCGCCCUGAAAACAUUGCCGUUCCCAUGCCGUUUAAAAAAAAAAAUUUACAUAUAUGUCUUGUGUGUGCUAUGUUGUGGUAGUCUUUCCUGUGUUGACAGUGGCAAUGUUCAAAAUCUGAUUUUAGUCUAGGUGCCAGUUACCAUAUAAGUUGUGUACUCUGCAGGGUUUUCUCUCUAUAUACUAUUACUUGUUGCUGAAAAGGAAAUCAUAUGAUGUAAUAUAUUUAC